RNAcentral lists this ribosomal RNA (253 nucleotides) under uncultured bacterium. RNAcentral describes it as "partial 16S ribosomal RNA". It matches the Rfam family "Bacterial small subunit ribosomal RNA", at positions 524 to 776 of the family's 1533-position model. The record is from RNAcentral.
UACGGAGGGUGCGAGUGUUGUUCGGAAUUAUUGGGCGUAAAGGACGCGUAGGCGGUCAUGAAAGUCAGAUGUGAAAUCCUCCGGCUCAACUGGAGAACUGCAUCUGAAACUUCAUGACUAGAGUACAGGAGAGGGAAACGGAAUUCCCGGUGUAGAGGUGAAAUUCGUAGAUAUCGGGAGGAACACCAGUGGCGAAGGCGGUUUCCUGGCCUGAUACUGACGCUGAGGCGUGAAAGCGUGGGGAGCAAACAGG